This 214-nucleotide ribosomal RNA is filed under the name uncultured bacterium. RNAcentral describes it as "partial 16S ribosomal RNA". It matches the Rfam family "Bacterial small subunit ribosomal RNA", at positions 122 to 334 of the family's 1533-position model. The record is from RNAcentral.
CAACCUACCUUUGAGACCGGGAUAGCCCUGAGAAAUCAGGAUUAAUACCGGAUGCGGUCACGACAAGGCAUCUUGACGUGCCCAAAGGCGCAAGCCGCUCAAUGACGGGCUCGCGGCUUAUUAGCUUGUUGGUGGGGUAAUGGCCUACCAAGGCGAUGAUGAGUAGCUGGUCUGAGAGGACGAUCAGCCACACUGGGACUGAGACACGGCCCAG